RNAcentral lists this transfer RNA (72 nucleotides) under Bos taurus (domestic cattle). It matches the Rfam family "tRNA". Rfam says of the family: Transfer RNA (tRNA) molecules are approximately 80 nucleotides in length. Their secondary structure includes four short double-helical elements and three loops (D, anti-codon, and T loops). Lineage: Eukaryota; Metazoa; Chordata; Mammalia; Artiodactyla; Bovidae. RNAcentral also lists the same sequence under 1 other name. The record is from Rfam by way of RNAcentral.
UCCCUGGUGGUCCAGUGCUUACAACUUUGCACUCUCAAUGCAAGGGCCUAGGUUCAACCCCUGGUCAGGGAA